RNAcentral lists this ribosomal RNA (423 nucleotides) under uncultured Lachnospiraceae bacterium. Its description in RNAcentral is "bacterial SSU rRNA". It matches the Rfam family "Bacterial small subunit ribosomal RNA", at positions 355 to 794 of the family's 1533-position model. The record is from RNAcentral. Lineage: Bacteria; Bacillati; Bacillota; Clostridia; Lachnospirales; Lachnospiraceae.
UGGGGAAUAUUGCACAAUGGGGGGAAACCCUGAUGCAGCGACGCCGCGUGAAGGAAGAAGUAUCUCGGUAUGUAAACUUCUAUCAGCAGGGAAGAUAAUGACGGUACCUGACUAAGAAGCCCCGGCUAACUACGUGCCAGCAGCCGCGGUAAUACGUAGGGGGCAAGCGUUAUCCGGAUUUACUGGGUGUAAAGGGAGCGUAGACGGCGAUGCAAGUCUGAAGUGAAAUACCCGGGCUCAACCUGGGAACUGCUUUGGAAACUGUAUGGCUAGAGUGCUGGAGAGGUAAGCGGAAUUCCUAGUGUAGCGGUGAAAUGCGUAGAUAUUAGGAAGAACACCAGUGGCGAAGGCGGCUUACUGGACAGUAACUGACGUUCAGGCUCGAAAGCGUGGGGAGCAAACAGGAUUAGAUACCCUGGUAGU